CAGAGUUGCAAGACUCCCUAAACCAUUGUGAACCUACCUUCUACCGUUGCUUCGGCGGGCGGGCCCAGCGCCCCCCCGGCCCCCCGCGGGCGCCCGCCGGAGGAUACCCAAACUCUUGACAUUAGUGGCCUCUCUGAGUAUUCUUACUGAAUAAGUCA
Molecule: unclassified non-coding RNA, 158 nt
Filed under: soil metagenome
Description: partial internal transcribed spacer 1
Source: RNAcentral